AGAGCGAACGCUGGCGGCAGGCCUAACACAUGCAAGUCGAGCGCCCCGCAAGGGGAGCGGCAGACGGGAGAGUAACACGUGGGAACGUACCCUUUGGUUCGGAACAACACAGGGAAACUUGUGCUAAUACCGGAUAAGCCCUUACGGGGAAAGAUUUAUUGCCAAAGGAUCGGCCCGCGUCUGAUUAGCUUGUUGGUGAGGUAACGGCUCACCAAGGCUACGAUCAGUAGCUGGUCUGAGAGGAUGAUCAGCCUCACUGGGACUGAGACACGGCCCAGACUCCUACGGGAGGCAGCAGUGGGGAAUUUGCGCAAUGGGGAAACCCUGACGCAGCAACGCCGCGUGGAGGAUGAAGUCCCUUGGGACGUAAACUCCUUUCGAUCGGGACGAUUAUGACGGUACCGGAAGAAGAAGCCCGGCUAACUUCGUGCCAGCAGCCGC
RNAcentral lists this ribosomal RNA (441 nucleotides) under uncultured bacterium. RNAcentral describes it as "SSU rRNA". It matches the Rfam family "Bacterial small subunit ribosomal RNA", at positions 26 to 518 of the family's 1533-position model. The record is from RNAcentral.